CAUAAUCAUUUGUCCACUAAUUAUGGACUAGCAUGAAAGGCAAAAUGAGGGUUUAACUGUCUCUUAUAGUAAGUCAAUUAAACUGAUCUACCAGUAAAAAAGCUGGUAUAAAUACACAAGACCAGAAGACCCUGUGAAGCUUAAACUAAAUUAUUAAACUACAUAAUAACUACUUUCGGUUGGGGCGACCUUGGAAAAAAAAGAACUUCCAAAUUAGUGACAAUUUAUCACCCCCAGGCCAACAAGCCACAUAUGACCCAGCACACCUGAUAACUGAACCAAGUUACUCCAGGGAUAACAGCGCCAUCUUCUUCAAGAGUCCAUAUCAAAAAGAAGGUUUACGACCUCGAUGUUGGAUCAGGACACCCCAA
Molecule: ribosomal RNA, 371 nt
Filed under: Erythrolamprus mimus (Mimic false coral snake)
Lineage: Eukaryota; Metazoa; Chordata; Lepidosauria; Squamata; Dipsadidae
Description: partial large subunit ribosomal RNA
Rfam family: Bacterial large subunit ribosomal RNA
Source: RNAcentral